GAUGAACGCUGGCGGCGUGCCUAAUACAUGCAAGUCGAGCGAACAGAUAAGGAGCUUGCUCCUUUGACGUUAGCGGCGGACGGGUGAGUAACACGUGGGUAACCUACCUAUAAGACUGGGAUAACUUCGGGAAACCGGAGCUAAUACCGGAUAAUAUUUCGAACCGCAUGGUUCGAUAGUGAAAGAUGGUUUUGCUAUCACUUAUAGAUGGACCCGCGCCGUAUUAGCUAGUUGGUAAGGUAACGGCUUACCAAGGCGACGAUACGUAGCCGACCUGAGAGGGUGAUCGGCCACACUGGAACUGAGACACGGUCCAGACUCCGACGGGAGGCAGCAGUAGGGAAUCUGCCGCAAUGGGCGAAAGCCUGACGGAGCAACGCCGCGGGAGUGAUGAAGGUCUUCGGAUCGUAAAACUCUGUUAUUAGGGAAGAACAUACGUGUAAGUAACUGUGCACGUCUUGACGGUACCUAAUCAGAAAGCCACGGCUAACUACGU
Molecule: ribosomal RNA, 496 nt
Filed under: uncultured bacterium
Lineage: Bacteria
Description: partial 16S ribosomal RNA
Rfam family: Bacterial small subunit ribosomal RNA
Source: RNAcentral